Molecule: ribosomal RNA, 253 nt
Filed under: uncultured bacterium
Lineage: Bacteria
Description: partial 16S ribosomal RNA
Rfam family: Bacterial small subunit ribosomal RNA
Source: RNAcentral
UACAGAGGGGGCAAGCGUUGUUCGGAAUUACUGGGCGUAAAGGGCGCGUAGGCGGCCCGCUAAGUCGAACGUGAAAUCCCCGGGCUCAACCCGGGAACUGCGUCCGAUACUGGCGGGCUUGAAUCCGGGAGAGGGAUGCGGAAUUCCAGGUGUAGCGGUGAAAUGCGUAGAUAUCUGGAGGAACACCGGUGGCGAAGGCGGCAUCCUGGACCAAUACUGACACUGAGGAGCGAAAGCCAGGGGAGCGAACGGG